AUACUUUUUAGGACACCAACUGACUUAAAAAUAUAAAAUGUUCAACAGUUUUAGUGCAUUGAAGAAUGACUGAGGUUUCAUUUAAGUAAGUCACUAAAAUAAGGUUCCUAAAUGAAGUAAUCAACUCCUUAUCAGUGUUUAGUGUACAGCCAGUUUUAAAAUGCUGACUCAGCUAUUUCACUGACCAUUAAAAAGACAAGAUAAUUCAUUUAGCUUAGUUGCAAACAUGAAAAACACAACAAAUAAGUCUGACAGACAUAAAAUGCAUUUUUUUCCAACAAGGUAAUAUAUCUGAUAUUCACAGGUAUAGUGUGUAUGUGUGUUUUUAAUGAUCAUUUUGAAAAAUUGAAAUUAGCAAAACAAUUUCACUUAAAUCAACAUUUGUUGUGCCAAAUUGUUUAAAAUUAUCUAAUAUUUUAAAAGAAACAUGCAAAAGCAACUUAUGUGCAAAAAAACAUAACAUACAGAAAUAUAUUUUGUAUGAACUUGAAUUAAAAACCAGGCAAAAAGCGUCAACUCAACUGCAUGACAUAAUAUUGUAUGCUUUAGGUCAGAUAUACCACAAAAACCAAGACUACUCAAUGAGGUUUCUUGGCAAGCAAUGUGUAUAGACUACAAUAAGCUCCAGCAUAAAAACAUAUACACCGUAUUUUCCGCACUAUAAGGCGCACCUAAAACCCUUCCAUUUUCUCAAAAGCCGACAGUGCGCCUUAUAUAUGGACCGAUAUUGAACCACAACAGGUCUCGCAACUAGGCAGCCGCUGACUUCAUUUUCCCCCGUAGAAGAAGAAGCGCGCGGUGCAUGCUGGGAUAUAUGACUGCGCGAAGCGUGCCGUUUCAUUUCCAUUUGUGUGUUUGUGUAAAGACCCCAAAAUGGCUCCUAUUAAGAGACACACUUACGACG
Molecule: long non-coding RNA, 904 nt
Organism: Xiphophorus hellerii (green swordtail)
Lineage: Eukaryota; Metazoa; Chordata; Actinopteri; Cyprinodontiformes; Poeciliidae
Exons: 2
Source: RefSeq, a predicted model, not a curated record